Long non-coding RNA from Cucumis sativus (cucumber), 472 nucleotides. RefSeq lists it as uncharacterized. The transcript is spliced from 2 exons. Lineage: Eukaryota; Viridiplantae; Streptophyta; Magnoliopsida; Cucurbitales; Cucurbitaceae. The record is from RefSeq and is a predicted model, not a curated record.
UCUUCUUACAUCAUCUACCAAAUGGGUCAUAGACUCUGGUGCCACAGCUCAUAUGACAGGAUCGUGUGACGAAGAAGAUUAUUGGUAGAGGAUAUGAGUCAGGAGGCCUUUAUCUCUUUGAUCAUCAAGUAUCGCAAGCUGUGGCGUGUCCUGUCGUUCCCUCUCCUUUUGAAGUCCAUUGUCGUUUAGGUCAUCCAUCUUUGUUCGUGUUGAAGAAACUUUAUCCAGAAUUUAGGUCUUUGUCCUCUUUAAAUUGUGAUUCGUGUCAAUUUGCGAAAUUUCAUCGUCUUAGUUCGAGUCCUCGAGUCGAUAAACGAGCAAUUGCUCCAUUUGAGUUACUUCAUUCUGAUAUUUGGGGUCCGUGUCCAGUUGUAUCUCAAACAGGCUUUCGUUAUUUUGUUACUUUUGUUGACGAUCAUUCUCGUCUAACUUGGUUAUAUUUAAUGAAAAAUCGUUCUGAGUUAUUAUCUCA